CACAUAAAGCCUUCAAUGGUCUUACUUAUUACAUCAAGUUUUUCUUUAUAACUUUAAAAAAAGUACCUUUUAGAUUUACAGCUUGUGCUUCUAAAGCAAAAGUUAGAACAUCAUGCCCAAAACGAAAACAAGGUAAAAAAGACGCUGCCACAUAAGCUCUUAAAAAUUGUAUGUUACAAAGUUCUAAAAUCUCUCCAGCACUGGUUGGUUGGUUGGUAGAUACAUCAGACUGUUCAACCACUGACAU
This is a non-coding RNA of Ceratotherium simum simum (southern white rhinoceros), 247 nucleotides long. The record is from RefSeq and is a predicted model, not a curated record. NCBI's taxonomy places the organism in Eukaryota, Metazoa, Chordata, Mammalia, Perissodactyla, Rhinocerotidae.